This 298-nucleotide long non-coding RNA is filed under the name Gallus gallus (chicken). Its description in RNAcentral is "long non-coding RNA NONGGAT005444". Lineage: Eukaryota; Metazoa; Chordata; Aves; Galliformes; Phasianidae. The record is from RNAcentral.
UGGGAAGCAACAAAAGUAGAAGAAGGGAAAGAGAAGUGAGGAACAACGAGGCUGGGAAGUCUGGCUGCUGCCCCCACCACUCAGCAUUGCACUGCCGAGGCUGCAGGCGCACGGCGACACGGCGGAGUCCCAUCUCUGCAGAUCAUGGCGUGGGUGGUGGUUUGGGAGAAGGACAGGAGCUCUGGCUGUCAAAGCUCGCUGCUCGGCCUUGCCACUGCGGGAGGAAAGAGAAGGGAAGCCUGAGCAGAUGGGAGAACACUCCUCUUCGUUCCUUCCUAAAUCAGCUCACAGUUACGAG